GAUGAACGCUGGCGGCGUGCCUAAUACAUGCAAGUCGAGCGAACAGAUGAGGAGCUUGCUCCUCUGACGUUAGCGGCGGACGGGUGAGUAACACGUGGAUAACCUACCUAUUAGACUGGGAUAACUUCGGGAAACCGGAGCUAAUACCGGAUAAUAUAUUGAACCGCAUGGUUCAAUAGUGAAAGACGGUUUUGCUGUCACUUAUAGAUGGAUCCGCGCCGCAUUAGCUAGUUGGUAAGGUAACGGCUUACCAAGGCAACGAUGCGUAGCCGACCUGAGAGGGUGAUCGGCCACACUGGAACUGAGACACGGUCCAGACUCCUACGAGAGGCAGCAGUAGGCAAUCUUCCGCAAUGGGCGAAAGCUUGACGGAGCAACGCCACGUGAGUGAUGAAGGUCUUCGGAUCGUAAAACUCUGUUAUUAGGGAAGAACAAAUGUGUACGUAACUAUGCACGUCUUGACGGUACCUAAUCAGAAAGCCACGGCUAACUACGUG
This 497-nucleotide ribosomal RNA is filed under the name uncultured bacterium. RNAcentral describes it as "partial 16S ribosomal RNA". It matches the Rfam family "Bacterial small subunit ribosomal RNA", at positions 28 to 507 of the family's 1533-position model. The record is from RNAcentral.